AACCAAUCAAUCCAACCACUGGUCACAGAAACGGAAGUUCAAGCAACGUGAUAUGUGACGUGACUUGUAAACAAACGUCAGCGUUAGCUUGUUAGCUUGGGAAAGGAAUGCCGUCUUAACAGAAUCGAUUCUCCAGGAUGUUGUGUGAAGUCCUGCUGUCAUCAUUAUGGUUCCUGUUUGUUAUCUUCUGGGUCGAGACAAUAAGUGUUUGGCUGUUUCUGUCCAUGUUUUAUCAGAACAGGGCAUUUUAUCACUGGGGAGAUGGGGUAUUUGCAGAUGAUCCUGGGCAGCUGAUUUACAUGUUAAGCAGAGUCGAUUCACAAAUGCAGACGGAGAUGCAGACCUGAGACGGAGAAGGAUCAUGAACUGGACCUAAAGGACUCUCAGAUGGAUGGCUGUUGCAGUCAUGUGAUGGAACAUGAUGGGAAUGACAGAACAUGACGGAGAGCAAUAGCUGUUUCACCUGUGCACUAACUGCUUAGCACACUGUUGUGCUUUGUCCUUGUUGUUCUAAGAGUAGACCUACUUUUUGUCAUAGGCAGUGGAGAGAUGCUGCAUGUGGAAGACGAGAGGUGGAGGGAGGUCUCAGUCUUUUAUGUGUAUCACAGCACCUACAGUGUCAUUUAGCAAGAGAUAUUAUCACAAAAGGCUUUGUUUAGAAAGGUUGAGCACAGUACUUCUUUGUUUCUGCUAAAUCCAUUUUGGACUUUCAAUGAGAUGCUGAUUUAAUCAUACUGGUGUUCUAUGCAAGUGCAGCUGUUUUUAUGGCAGUUUAUUGUGUAAUAGAAAUCCAAUUGAAGUCUGUUCAAUAUGUUUGAAUGUUUUCAACAAAAGAUGUGGUGCCACAACCUCUAACAAUGAGCUGCAUUUGAUUUUCUGAGGUUUAAGGAGUUUUUCUGGGGUUAUCUAUGAUUUUAAACAAAGUAGAUUGGUGACUCUGAGUUCAUGAUCUUGUUCUGAGCUGAUCACACUAACAACCCUUAUUUAACAUAGAUAAAGUAAUUUCAAGUACAACUUCACUUUAGCGCUAAGGUUCAUUGAAACAUUACUACUUGCUUAAUUUUCUUUAAUAUGUUGUAAAUGUUAAUCUUGUUUUCAUUGUGGGCUGAAUGAUUUUGCUCCAGUGUUUGUUGUUUUAAUACUGAAAAUCCACACAGAGGUGGGUUUGAUAACUGAAAUGUCAUGGUAAAAGCGCCAUCUACUGUUGAAAAUCAGAAAAUUGUAGUGAAGGGUCUGGAAGUGCACCAAGUGAUAGAAAGAAGAAACUUGGAGAAGGGGAGGAUGUUCUCUUUCUUUAAAAAUACAUUGAAUUUAUAUCCAGUUAAGGAAAUAAUUUGCAAAUCUUUACAAGCCUGUAAGAUUCCUGGAUUGGGAAAUCUUUUAGUAUUGUUUUAUGUCAACUGAUUGAACUGCUUUUAAACAAAACCAUUGGGCUGUCACAGUUUCCUUGGUGACAGAAGCAAUGUAAGUGGUUUUGUACUAAAUAAAAGGCGUUUUCUCAA
Molecule: long non-coding RNA, 1502 nt
Organism: Cheilinus undulatus (humphead wrasse)
Lineage: Eukaryota; Metazoa; Chordata; Actinopteri; Labriformes; Labridae
Exons: 4
Source: RefSeq, a predicted model, not a curated record